AAAGGGAGACCUAAUUCAGGUAUGGGACGAAAAAAAAGUAGUCGCUACCAAGAAUCAAUCCCAAAAGGUCGGAGCGAGGUAUGAGGCUUUCAAACUAGGUUCUGGGUUCACAGAAGACCUGAAUCAGGAACAAGGGCUAUUAGCUCAGGUGGUUAGAGCGCACCCCUGAUAAGGGUGAGGUCCCUGGUUCGAGUCCAGGAUGGCCCACCUGCACAGGUGGCAAAAAAAAGAAAAGAAGCGAGGAAUCAGCACCUUAUCUUAUCUAUAUAUAAGAGAGAAUGCUGGCUCUGAGUACAGAGUCCAGAGGAACCUUGAAAACUGCAUAGAGCUAGGUGAAAAAGCCAAAAAAGAAGACCGCAAG
RNAcentral lists this transfer RNA (361 nucleotides) under uncultured Microcystis sp. RNAcentral's name for it is "partial 16S-23S ribosomal RNA intergenic spacer". The stretch from base 134 to 207 matches the Rfam family "tRNA". The record is from RNAcentral. Lineage: Bacteria; Bacillati; Cyanobacteriota; Cyanophyceae; Chroococcales; Microcystaceae.